Diabrotica virgifera virgifera (western corn rootworm) is the source of this 1069-nucleotide long non-coding RNA. RefSeq lists it as uncharacterized. Lineage: Eukaryota; Metazoa; Arthropoda; Insecta; Coleoptera; Chrysomelidae. The transcript has 2 exons. The record is from RefSeq and is a predicted model, not a curated record.
ACGCAACCGUGUUUGCGUACUUGUGUUUCGAGUUGCGUGGUCGUGCGGAGUUAUAUUUACCAAAUUCGUUUCUACUGAUAAUAAAUAAUAUACUAUUCUCAAUAGGGCUUUUCAUCGACUGUCAUUUGUUUCGAGCUUCUGUCAUGUGUCACAUAAUAUUAAUAUAUCUACGCCAUACGUCUUUGGUUUGUAUCAUUGGUAUAUAUCAAUAACGUAUGACGUAGAUAUAUUAAUAUUAUGUGACACAUGACAGAAGCUCGAAACAAAUGACUGUGAAUGAAAAGCCCUAUAUGGCUACUGGGUGUAAAAGAUAAAUCUUAUUCUAUCUGUUCUUCAUGAGUUUUAGAUAAUUUUAGUUGUAUUUCUUUGUAAUUUUGUGUUGUACAAAGAUUAAUUUAACAUUUUCUCUGGAAGUAUUAAUUUAAAAAGAUAAUAUGCUUCAUUGGUGUUGUGUUUUGAAGUGUGAAAUGCAAAGUAAUUGUGAUAAAGUCAAGAUAAAGUUCACUUUUAAACUGAACUAAAUAAGGUAUCUGAGAGACAACAAUGGUUAAAUGCAAUACAAUGUACAGGUUUUACUAGCGAAAUGAAAAUUUUCCUGUCCUGUCUGCUGUAAUCAUUUUAUAUCUGGUAAGUUACAAUUACAACAGUAACGAUUUUUGAAGAUGUUAACAUUUUAAUCUUAUAGGAAAAUAGGAAAACCAGCCGACUUAAUCGAUAAUAACAAUCUCCAGAUUGGGUUCCUUCAAUAAAUAUGGGCUAUAAACACAAUGAAAUAAGUUCCCCAAAAUCUAAAAUGGAGUGCUAUCAAAGGAGAAUUAAAGGAAAAAAUAUUCAUAUUGAAAUUAUUUAUAAGGCACUGGACUGUCUUAAAUUCUACAAUAAUACUAGAAUCAGCUGAGAGAAGUGGUCUACAAAAAACCAGGAAGGAAACGGAAUAUGUGGCUACGAAAGGCAAAAGAAAGGUUUACAAAGCAAAUGUGACACAUUUUUUUGAAAUAUUUAGGAAUAUCAGUAAAUUGCAUUAAAAAAUGUAUGAAAAGAUUUUGUUCAAUAAAAAUGUUUAUAUUUA